This 1542-nucleotide ribosomal RNA is filed under the name Salmonella enterica subsp. enterica serovar Gallinarum. Its description in RNAcentral is "bacterial SSU rRNA". It matches the Rfam family "Bacterial small subunit ribosomal RNA". RNAcentral also lists the same sequence under 27 other names. The record is from RNAcentral. Lineage: Bacteria; Pseudomonadati; Pseudomonadota; Gammaproteobacteria; Enterobacterales; Enterobacteriaceae.
AAAUUGAAGAGUUUGAUCAUGGCUCAGAUUGAACGCUGGCGGCAGGCCUAACACAUGCAAGUCGAACGGUAACAGGAAGCAGCUUGCUGCUUUGCUGACGAGUGGCGGACGGGUGAGUAAUGUCUGGGAAACUGCCUGAUGGAGGGGGAUAACUACUGGAAACGGUGGCUAAUACCGCAUAACGUCGCAAGACCAAAGAGGGGGACCUUCGGGCCUCUUGCCAUCAGAUGUGCCCAGAUGGGAUUAGCUUGUUGGUGAGGUAACGGCUCACCAAGGCGACGAUCCCUAGCUGGUCUGAGAGGAUGACCAGCCACACUGGAACUGAGACACGGUCCAGACUCCUACGGGAGGCAGCAGUGGGGAAUAUUGCACAAUGGGCGCAAGCCUGAUGCAGCCAUGCCGCGUGUAUGAAGAAGGCCUUCGGGUUGUAAAGUACUUUCAGCGGGGAGGAAGGUGUUGUGGUUAAUAACCGCAGCAAUUGACGUUACCCGCAGAAGAAGCACCGGCUAACUCCGUGCCAGCAGCCGCGGUAAUACGGAGGGUGCAAGCGUUAAUCGGAAUUACUGGGCGUAAAGCGCACGCAGGCGGUCUGUCAAGUCGGAUGUGAAAUCCCCGGGCUCAACCUGGGAACUGCAUUCGAAACUGGCAGGCUUGAGUCUUGUAGAGGGGGGUAGAAUUCCAGGUGUAGCGGUGAAAUGCGUAGAGAUCUGGAGGAAUACCGGUGGCGAAGGCGGCCCCCUGGACAAAGACUGACGCUCAGGUGCGAAAGCGUGGGGAGCAAACAGGAUUAGAUACCCUGGUAGUCCACGCCGUAAACGAUGUCUACUUGGAGGUUGUGCCCUUGAGGCGUGGCUUCCGGAGCUAACGCGUUAAGUAGACCGCCUGGGGAGUACGGCCGCAAGGUUAAAACUCAAAUGAAUUGACGGGGGCCCGCACAAGCGGUGGAGCAUGUGGUUUAAUUCGAUGCAACGCGAAGAACCUUACCUGGUCUUGACAUCCACAGAACUUUCCAGAGAUGGACUGGUGCCUUCGGGAACUGUGAGACAGGUGCUGCAUGGCUGUCGUCAGCUCGUGUUGUGAAAUGUUGGGUUAAGUCCCGCAACGAGCGCAACCCUUAUCCUUUGUUGCCAGCGAUUAGGUCGGGAACUCAAAGGAGACUGCCAGUGAUAAACUGGAGGAAGGUGGGGAUGACGUCAAGUCAUCAUGGCCCUUACGACCAGGGCUACACACGUGCUACAAUGGCGCAUACAAAGAGAAGCGACCUCGCGAGAGCAAGCGGACCUCAUAAAGUGCGUCGUAGUCCGGAUUGGAGUCUGCAACUCGACUCCAUGAAGUCGGAAUCGCUAGUAAUCGUGGAUCAGAAUGCCACGGUGAAUACGUUCCCGGGCCUUGUACACACCGCCCGUCACACCAUGGGAGUGGGUUGCAAAAGAAGUAGGUAGCUUAACCUUCGGGAGGGCGCUUACCACUUUGUGAUUCAUGACUGGGGUGAAGUCGUAACAAGGUAACCGUAGGGGAACCUGCGGUUGGAUCACCUCCUUA